CAAUAGCGUAUAUUAAAGUUGUUGCAGUUAAAAAGCUCGUAGUUGGAUUUCUGGUCGGAAGCUCCUGUCCUCUGAUGAGCGUACAAGUGCGUCCUACCAUCCUUCUGUUAACCUUUAAGGCUUUCGCGGCUUUCUAGGGGCUCAGAUAUUUUACCUUGAGAAAAUUAGAGUGUUUCAGGCAGGCUAGCGCCGGAAUACAUUAGCAUGGAAUAAUGGAAUAGGACUUUUGCCACUUCUGUUGGUCAUGAGGCUCGAGUAAUGAUUAAUAGGGAUAGUUGGGGGCAUUAGUACUUAACUGUCAGAGGUGAAAUUCUCGGAUUUGUUAAAGACUAACUUAUGCGAAAGCAUUUGCCAAGGAUGUUUUCAUUAA
RNAcentral lists this ribosomal RNA (370 nucleotides) under uncultured eukaryote. RNAcentral describes it as "partial 18S ribosomal RNA". It matches the Rfam family "Eukaryotic small subunit ribosomal RNA", at positions 592 to 976 of the family's 1831-position model. The record is from RNAcentral.